Molecule: ribosomal RNA, 407 nt
Filed under: uncultured prokaryote
Also listed under: 1 other name
Description: bacterial SSU rRNA
Rfam family: Bacterial small subunit ribosomal RNA
Source: RNAcentral
UGGGGAAUAUUGGGCAAUGGGCGCAAGCCUGACCCAGCAACGCCGCGUGAGGGAAGAAGGUUUUCGGAUUGUAAACCUCUGUCGCAGGGGACGAAGGAAGUGACGGUACCCUGUGAGGAAGCCCCGGCUAACUACGUGCCAGCAGCCGCGGUAAGACGUAGGGGGCGAGCGUUGUCCGGAAUUACUGGGCGUAAAGGGUGCGUAGGCGGCAAUUCAAGUCUGAUGUGAAAUUCCCGUGCUUAACAUGGGGCUUGCAUCGGAAACUGAAUAGCUAGAGUGCAGGAGAGGUAAGCGGAAUUCCUAGUGUAGCGGUGAAAUGCAUAGAUAUUAGGAGGAACACCAGUGGCGAAGGCGGCUUACUGGACUGUAACUGACGCUGAAGCACGAAAGCGUGGGGAGCAAACAGG